AACGAACGCUGGCGGCAUGCCUAACACAUGCAAGUCGAACGCUCCGCAAGGGGAGUGGCGAACGGGUGAGUAACGCGUGGGAACCUGCCCAGUAGUUGGGGAUAACCGCGGGAAACUGCGGCUAAUACCGAAUACGCCCUAAGGGGAAAGGAUUUAUCGCUAUUGGAGGGGCCCGGCGUCGGAUUAGCUGGUUGGUGAGGUAACGGCUCACCAAGGCGACGAUCCGUAGCUGGUCUGAGAGGAUGAUCAGCCACACUGGGACUUAGACACGGCCCAGACUCCUACGGGAGGGCAGCAGUGGGGAAUAUUGGACAAUGGGGGCAACCCUGAUCCAGCAAUGCCGCGUGAGUGAUGAAGGCCUUAGGGCUGUAAAG
RNAcentral lists this ribosomal RNA (374 nucleotides) under uncultured bacterium. Its description in RNAcentral is "bacterial SSU rRNA". It matches the Rfam family "Bacterial small subunit ribosomal RNA", at positions 29 to 430 of the family's 1533-position model. The record is from RNAcentral.